GCGGGCGUGGCGGAAUUGGUAGACGCGCUAGACUUAGGAUCUAGAGCUUAACAGCGUGGGGGUUCGAGUCCCUUCGCCCGUA
RNAcentral lists this transfer RNA (82 nucleotides) under Prolixibacteraceae bacterium. RNAcentral describes it as "tRNA-Leu". It matches the Rfam family "tRNA". Rfam says of the family: Transfer RNA (tRNA) molecules are approximately 80 nucleotides in length. Their secondary structure includes four short double-helical elements and three loops (D, anti-codon, and T loops). Further hydrogen bonds mediate the characteristic L-shaped molecular structure. tRNAs have two regions of fundamental functional importance: the anti-codon, which is responsible for specific mRNA codon recognition, and the 3' end, to which the tRNAs corresponding amino acid is attached (by aminoacyl-tRNA synthetases). tRNAs cope with the degeneracy of the genetic code in two manners: having more than one tRNA (with a specific anti-codon) for a particular amino acid; and 'wobble' base-pairing, i.e. permitting non-standard base-pairing at the 3rd anti-codon position. Lineage: Bacteria; Pseudomonadati; Bacteroidota; Bacteroidia; Marinilabiliales; Prolixibacteraceae. The record is from RNAcentral.